This 486-nucleotide ribosomal RNA is filed under the name uncultured bacterium. RNAcentral's name for it is "partial 16S ribosomal RNA". It matches the Rfam family "Bacterial small subunit ribosomal RNA", at positions 30 to 507 of the family's 1533-position model. The record is from RNAcentral.
AUUGAACGCUGGCGGCAUGCCUUACACAUGCAAGUCGAACGGCAGCACGGGUGCUUGCACCUGGUGGCGAGUGGCGAACGGGUGAGUAAUACAUCGGAACAUGUCCUGUAGUGGGGGAUAGCCCGGCGAAAGCCGGAUUAAUACCGCAUACGAUCCGCGGAUGAAAGCGGGGGACCUUCGGGCCUCGCGCUAUAGGGUUGGCCGAUGGCUGAUUAGCUAGUUGGUGGGGUAAAGGCCUACCAAGGCGACGAUCAGUAGCUGGUCUGAGAGGACGACCAGCCACACUGGGACUGAGACACGGCCCAGACUCCUACGGGAGGCAGCAGUGGGGAAUUUUGGACAAUGGGCGAAAGCCUGAUCCAGCAAUGCCGCGUGUGUGAAGAAGGCCUUCGGGUUGUAAAGCACUUUUGUCCGGAAAGAAAUCCUUGGCUCUAAUACAGUCGGGGGAUGACGGUACCGGAAGAAUAAGCACCGGCUAACUACGUG